AGCGAACGCUGGCGGUAGGCCUAACACAUGCAAGUCGAACGGCAGCACAGUAAGAGCUUGCUCUUACGGGUGGCGAGUGGCGGACGAGUGAGGAAUACAUCGGAAUCUACUUUUUCGUGGGGGAUAACGUAGGGAAACUUACGCUAAUACCGCAUACGACCUACGGGUGAAAGCAGGGGAUCUUCGGACCUUGCGCGAUUGAAUGAGCCGAUGUCGGAUUAGCUAGUUGGCGGGGUAAAGGCCCACCAAGGCGACGAUCCGUAGCUGGUCUGAGAGGAUGAUCAGCCACACUGGAACUGAGACACGGUCCAGACUCCUACGGGAGGCAGCAGUGGGGAAUAUUGGACAAUGGGCGCAAGCCUGAUCCAGCCAUACCGCGUGGGUGAAGAAGGCCUUCGGGUUGUAAAGCCCUUUUGUUGGGAAAGAAAAGCAGCAGGUUAAUACCCCGCUGUUCUGACGGUACCCAAAGAAUAAGCACCGGCUAACUUCGUG
Molecule: ribosomal RNA, 492 nt
Filed under: uncultured bacterium
Lineage: Bacteria
Description: partial 16S ribosomal RNA
Rfam family: Bacterial small subunit ribosomal RNA
Source: RNAcentral